UGGGCAACCUGCCCUCAGCUCUGGGAUAACUCCGGGAAACCGGGGCUAAUACCGGAUACGACUUGGGUCGACAUCGACCUGGGUGGAAAGAAUUUCGGCUGAGGAUGGGCCCGCGGCCUAUCAUGCUUGAUGGUGAGGUAACGGCCCACCAUGGCGACGACGGGUAGCCGGCCUGAGAGGGUGACCGGCCACACUGGGACUGAGACACGGCCCAGACUCCUACGGGA
This 227-nucleotide ribosomal RNA is filed under the name uncultured bacterium. RNAcentral describes it as "partial 16S ribosomal RNA". It matches the Rfam family "Bacterial small subunit ribosomal RNA", at positions 118 to 346 of the family's 1533-position model. The record is from RNAcentral.